AAUCCCGUUGAUCCUGCGGGAGGCCGCUGCUAUUGGAAUCCGAUUAAGCCAUGCAAGCUCGGGGGGUCUUCGGACCACCGGCGAACUGCUCAGUAACACGUCGAUAACGUGCCCUUAGGUCUGUAAUAGCUCCGGGAAACUGGGGGUAAUGACAGAUAUGCGUGGGAUACCGAAACGUUCCUUCGCUGAAAGGCAACGCCUAAGGAUCGGUCGGCGGCCGAUUAGCUUGUUGGUGGGGUAAUGGCCCACCAAGGCGACUAUCGGUAGGGGCCUUGAAAGAGGGAGCCCCGAGAAGGGUACUGAGAUACGGACCCUAGCCCUACGGGGUGCAGCAGGCGCGAAACCUUUGCAAUGCGUGAAAGCGUGACAAGGGGAUUCCAAGUGCCUGCACAUUGUGCAGGCUUUUGCCAAGAGUAAAGACCUUGGCGAAUAAGUGGUGGGCAAGACCGGUGCCAGCCGCCGCGGUAACACCGGCGCCACGAGUGGGGGCCAUGAUUAUUGGGCCUAAAGCGUCCGUAGCCGGCCUGGUAAAUCUCUUGUGAAAUCGUACGGCUCAACCGAACGGCGAGCAGGGGACACUGCCAGGCUAGGGACCGGGAGGAGGCAGAGGUAUUCGUUGGGGAGCGGUAAAAUGCUAUAAUCCUUCGAAGACCACCUGUGGCGAAGGCGUCUGCCCAGAACGGAUCCGACGGUGAGGGACGAAAGCCAGGGGAGCGAUCCGGAUUAGAUACCCGAGUAGUCCUGGCUGUAAACGCUGCGAGCAAGGUGUUGCGCAUCCUACGAGGUUGCGCAGUGUCGAAGGGAAGCCGUUAAGCUCGCCGCCUGGGAAGUACGGUCGCAAGGCUGAAACUUAAAGGAAUUGGCGGGGGAGCACUACAAGGGGUGCGGCGUGCGGUUUAAUUGAAUUCAACGCCGGAAAUCUCACCAGCAGCGNNNNNNNNNACGCCGGAAAUCUCACCAGCAGCGACGGCAGGAUGAGGGCCAGGUUGAAGGCCUUGCCCGACGAGCCGAGAGGUGGUGCAUGGCCGCCGUCAGCUCGUGCCGUGAGGUGUCCUCUUAAGUGAGGCAACGAGCGAGACCUGUACCCACAAUUGCUAACGGGGCCUCCGGGCUGACUGAGCACAAUGUGGGAACUGCCUUGGAAACAAGGAGGAAGGUGCAGGCAACGGUAGGUCUGUAUGCCCCGAAUCUGCUGGGCUACACGCGCGCAACAAUGGCAAGGACAAUGGGAUGCCACCCCGAAAGGGGGAGCUAAACCUCGAAACCUUGCCUCAGUUCAGAUCGAGGGCUGGAACCCGCCCUCGUGACGUUGGAAUCCCUAGUAAUCGGAUGUCAUAAUCGUCCGGUGAAUAUGUCCCUGCUCCUUGCACACACCGCCCGUCAAACCAACCGAGCAGGGUUCAAGUGAGGCGUAUCUUCUUGGAUAUGUCGAACUUGGACUCAGUGAGGUGGGUUAAGUCGUCACAAGGUAGCCGUAGGGGAACCUGCGGCUGGAUCACCUCCUUU
Molecule: ribosomal RNA, 1506 nt
Filed under: Candidatus Woesearchaeota archaeon CG11_big_fil_rev_8_21_14_0_20_57_5
Lineage: Archaea; Nanobdellati; Candidatus Woesearchaeota
Description: bacterial SSU rRNA
Rfam family: Archaeal small subunit ribosomal RNA
Source: RNAcentral